RNAcentral lists this unclassified non-coding RNA (1920 nucleotides) under Bactrocera tryoni. Its description in RNAcentral is "protein N-terminal asparagine amidohydrolase, transcript variant X3". The record is from RNAcentral. Lineage: Eukaryota; Metazoa; Arthropoda; Insecta; Diptera; Tephritidae.
GCUGAGCGCAACGUUUAAAGACAAACCAAUUCUCGUGUGUGUGUAUGUGUGAAAGGUUUCUUCCAGCAAACGUCAAGUACCUAAGUCUUUGACUAAGUGGCUCUGAACGCUCGCAGCAGCAGUCCAGUGUAAGCGUGUAUUUUAUGAGAAAAACUACAAGUCAGCUUUUGAUGCGCUAAAACGGUGUUUUUGUGUUGCUGAUAACUCUUGUGAAGCCGUCGGGUUUUCGUCGUUUACGAAUUUUUGUGUCCGUUGUGUGAAAGAUUUUUGAUAAAGUGCAAAAAUUAAUUUAAAAAAAAAAAUAAAAAUUUACUAUUUGCUGUGAAAGCUUAAUAAAACAACUAAAUAUUAUCAAGACCGCAUAUUCAGGCAAAAACUAUAAACAACAAGCGCACACACUGUGACAUAACUGAAACAGAUUUGGCAGCGUAAAAGUUGAAGGAUGUGUUGUUGUGGAACAUCCGCUGUCGAUAAACGGAAUUGAUGUGUAUGAAUUACUAUGGUUUAAAAAACCAUUAACGACACCAACAGCAACAGCAGAAACCAGCAAAACGCUCUCUCACCAACUACUCACACGUUGAAACGUCAAAAAUACGACACUACCUAUACUCAACAAAAUAACAGCAACAACAAAACGCACUUAACAGAACUCCUUUUUAAGGGUUUAAUAACAAAAGAAAAGCAAAAAUCAAAGAACAAGACACGACAGAAUGGUGUUGGUAUUGAACGGUGUCUUACAGGACGAUUGUCCAAUGGACACAAACAGUCUCUUCCUACAGCAUCCGGUUUACAGAGAUUAUGCGCAGCAACUGCUCUCCAUACCAAGAAAAUCGGUGGGCCCAGUUGGUCUGCUCUACGUGGGCCAACGUGAAAUGGCCGCUGCAGCGCCGCACGACAAGAACAUCAACAUUAUCGGCGCCGACGAUGCCACAACCUGCAUUAUUGUUGUGGUCAGGCAUUCAGGUUCAGGCGCUGUGGCUUUGGCGCACUUCGAUGGCAACGGCAUAGACGAGGCUGUCUGCACAAUGGUUGCACGCGUCCAAGAGUUGGCCUUAGGUUAUCCAGAGGGACGUAUUGAGUUGCAAUUAAUUGGUGGCUACCGAGAUCCACAAGGAUACGGCGAGGAGGUUUUCUACAGCAUAAUGCAAUCAUUCCAUAAGCAUCAUCUCGAAAUCGACUUGACUCAAGCCUGCGUCGGUGAGCUAAACACUAUACUGCGUGGCGAUAUCAACUACCCAAUCAUUUACGGCGUUGGUGUUAACAUAAAAACCGGUGAAAUAUUCCCAGCAACUUUUCUAGAUCGAGGACCGGACAGACAAUUGCGUGAUGCUCGCAACUUCAUGGGUGCACAAUCGGUCUUGGACAUUUACGACUCCUCCUUGGGCAUGUUGCGUAUCGGUCCCUUCAAUUAUGAUCCAUUGCGCGGCGCUGAUUUAUGGCUAUCACAGACAGAUGAAUUCCUCUUGCAACACUUAUCGACGAGUCCGGACGUUGAGCCGCCACACUUCACAAUGCAGAUACGCGCAACAAUAAAAUUCAUACAGGAUAAUCAAUUCCCCGCAAUCACCGUGUUUCGGGACAAUCGGCCACGCUACUAUCGGCGCGACGAGUCUACGGGCUGCUGGACUUUGGUUAGAUAUUAAUUACGAAUAAACGCGUACUCACACAUGCAUCCUUAUACAUAUAAACAAUACGUGCUCGCAUAUUUGCAUAGUUAUGCGCUUGAAACGAAAAUUCACAUAAGUGUUAUUAAGCUGCGCUUUUUCUUUGUUGUUUUAAAUGUACGCUUUAGCUGCUCCGUUCACUUUAUGGCUGCUCUGUACUUUUGUACUCGUUAAUGAUUGAGGCAAAUCAGCGUAAAAAAUAUAAAAAUAAAUAUUAAAAGUAAUGUUUUCGCUAGCUACGUGUGAAAAUAAUUAU